GGGUUGUGAGGUUAAGCGACUAAGCGUACACGGUGGAUGCCCUGGCAGUCAGAGGCGAUGAAGGGCGUGCUAAUCUGCGAUAAGCGCCGGUAAGGUGAUAUGAACCGUUAUAACCGGCGAUACCCGAAUGGGGAAACCCAGUGUGACUCGUCACACUAUCAUUAACUGAAUCCAUAGGUUAAUGAGGCGAACCGGGGGAACUGAAACAUCUAAGUACCCCGAGGAAAAGAAAUCAACCGAGAUUCCCCCAGUAGCGGCGAGCGAACGGGGAGGAGCCCAGAGCCUGAAUCAGCAUGUGUGUUAGUGGAAGCGUCUGGAAAGGCGCGCGAUACAGGGUGACAGCCCCGUACACAAAAGCGCAUGUGCUGUGAGCUCGAUGAGUAGGGCGGGACACGUGGUAUCCUGUCUGAAUAUGGGGGGACCAUCCUCCAAGGCUAAAUACUCCUGACUGACCGAUAGUGAACCAGUACCGUGAGGGAAAGGCGAAAAGAACCCCGGCGAGGGGAGUGAAAAAGAACCUGAAACCGUGUACGUACAAGCAGUGGGAGCCCCACCACCAAAGCAUUUGCUGUACCGCGUUGACGGAGCGAAGCGACGUCAAACCGAUAAAACAGCAGUGUAAAGUGAGCCGCAGGGCGCUUUGCGCGACAGCGCAAAGGCAGGCGGUUUCGCGUAGCGAAAGCGAAUGCUUUGGGGUGGGGUGACUGCGUACCUUUUGUAUAAUGGGUCAGCGACUUAUAUUCUGUAGCAAGGUUAACCGAAUAGGGGAGCCGGAGGGAAACCGAGUCUUAAUUGGGCGUUAAGUUGCAGGGUAUAGACCCGAAACCCGGUGAUCUAGCCAUGGGCAGGUUGAAGGUUGGGUAACACUAACUGGAGGACCGAACCGACUAAUGUUGAAAAAUUAGCGGAUGACCUGUGGCUGGGGGUGAAAGGCCAAUCAAACCGGGAGAUAGCUGGUUCUCCCCGAAAGCUAUUUAGGUAGCGCCUCGUGAAUUCAUCUCCGGGGGUAGAGCACUGUUUCGGCUAGGGGGCCAUCCCGGCUUACCAACCCGAUGCAAACUGCGAAUACCGGAGAAUGUUAUCACGGGAGACACACGGCGGGUGCUAACGUCCGUCGUGAAGAGGGAAACAACCCAGACCGCCAGCUAAGGUCCCAAAGUCAUGGUUAAGUGGGAAACGAUGUGGGAAGGCCCAGACAGCCAGGAUGUUGGCUUAGAAGCAGCCAUCAUUUAAAGAAAGCGUAAUAGCUCACUGGUCGAGUCGGCCUGCGCGGAAGAUGUAACGGGGCUAAACCAUGCACCGAAGCUGCGGCAGCGACACUGUGUGUUGUUGGGUAGGGGAGCGUUCUGUAAGCCUGUGAAGGUGUGUCGUGAGGCAUGCUGGAGGUAUCAGAAGUGCGAAUGCUGACAUAAGUAACGAUAAAGCGGGUGAAAAGCCCGCUCGCCGGAAGACCAAGGGUUCCUGUCCAACGUUAAUCGGGGCAGGGUGAGUCGACCCCUAAGGCGAGGCCGAAAGGCGUAGUCGAUGGGAAACGGGUUAAUAUUCCCGUACUUGGUGUUACUGCGAAGGGGGGACGGAGAAGGCUAUGUUGGCCGGGCGACGGUUGUCCCGGUUUAAGCGUGUAGGUGUGUGUUCCAGGUAAAUCCGGUUCACUUUAACACUGAGGCGUGACGACGAGGCACUACGGUGCUGAAGCAACAAAUGCCCUGCUUCCAGGAAAAGCCUCUAAGCAUCAGGUAACAUCAAAUCGUACCCCAAACCGACACAGGUGGUCAGGUAGAGAAUACCAAGGCGCUUGAGAGAACUCGGGUGAAGGAACUAGGCAAAAUGGUGCCGUAACUUCGGGAGAAGGCACGCUGACACGUAGGUGAAGUGAUUUACUCAUGGAGCUGAAGUCAGUCGAAGAUACCAGCUGGCUGCAACUGUUUAUUAAAAACACAGCACUGUGCAAACACGAAAGUGGACGUAUACGGUGUGACGCCUGCCCGGUGCCGGAAGGUUAAUUGAUGGGGUCAGCGCAAGCGAAGCUCCUGAUCGAAGCCCCGGUAAACGGCGGCCGUAACUAUAACGGUCCUAAGGUAGCGAAAUUCCUUGUCGGGUAAGUUCCGACCUGCACGAAUGGCGUAAUGAUGGCCAGGCUGUCUCCACCCGAGACUCAGUGAAAUUGAACUCGCUGUGAAGAUGCAGUGUACCCGCGGCAAGACGGAAAGACCCCGUGAACCUUUACUAUAGCUUGACACUGAACAUUGAGCCUUGAUGUGUAGGAUAGGUGGGAGGCUUUGAAGUGUGGACGCCAGUCUGCAUGGAGCCGACCUUGAAAUACCACCCUUUAAUGUUUGAUGUUCUAACGUGGACCCGUUACCCGGGUUGCGGACAGUGUCUGGUGGGUAGUUUGACUGGGGCGGUCUCCUCCUAAAGAGUAACGGAGGAGCACGAAGGUUGGCUAAUCCUGGUCGGACAUCAGGAGGUUAGUGCAAUGGCAUAAGCCAGCUUGACUGCGAGCGUGACGGCGCGAGCAGGUGCGAAAGCAGGUCAUAGUGAUCCGGUGGUUCUGAAUGGAAGGGCCAUCGCUCAACGGAUAAAAGGUACUCCGGGGAUAACAGGCUGAUACCGCCCAAGAGUUCAUAUCGACGGCGGUGUUUGGCACCUCGAUGUCGGCUCAUCACAUCCUGGGGCUGAAGUAGGUCCCAAGGGUAUGGCUGUUCGCCAUUUAAAGUGGUACGCGAGCUGGGUUUAGAACGUCGUGAGACAGUUCGGUCCCUAUCUGCCGUGGGCGCUGGAGAACUGAGGGGGGCUGCUCCUAGUACGAGAGGACCGGAGUGGACGCAUCACUGGUGUUCGGGUUGUCAUGCCAAUGGCACUGCCCGGUAGCUAAAUGCGGAAGAGAUAAGUGCUGAAAGCAUCUAAGCACGAAACUUGCCCCGA
This 2925-nucleotide ribosomal RNA is filed under the name Salmonella enterica. RNAcentral describes it as "partial 23S ribosomal RNA". It matches the Rfam family "Bacterial large subunit ribosomal RNA". The record is from RNAcentral. Lineage: Bacteria; Pseudomonadati; Pseudomonadota; Gammaproteobacteria; Enterobacterales; Enterobacteriaceae. RNAcentral also lists the same sequence under 1 other name.